Long non-coding RNA from Homo sapiens (human), 5864 nucleotides. RefSeq lists it as uncharacterized. NCBI's taxonomy places the organism in Eukaryota, Metazoa, Chordata, Mammalia, Primates, Hominidae. The transcript has 3 exons. The record is from RefSeq and is a predicted model, not a curated record.
UUCUCUAAGAAACCAGAUCCCAGAAGGGGGCUCUCUGCUGGGCCCCAGAGCAUUUUUUGUGUGAACUGGAAACAGGGCUGAGGCAGGCCUCUUGCAUCCCUUCUCUGCCUCACUGAGGUCUUUGGGGUGCAAAUGUACAGCCCAGGAGAAAGUGGCCCAGGGUCUUAGGUGGCCCCCAGCCAAGAGAAGGACGCUCCUCUGGUCUGUGGGAAAAGGCCCCAGCAGGAGAUAGGGGGAGUGGGCAGCCCACUGCUUGCAAGGCUUGAGGUCUCCUGGGCCAGUGUGUCGCUCAGGGGGUGGCAGGGGGGGCCCUGAAGGGCAGGAGCUGCAGAGGCAGAGGGACUCCUGUUGAGGAAAGCUACUGGAAUCACUGUGUGGUUAGACCUAAGGAAGAACUUCCUGCCUGCUGGUCGGCGGGGCAGCCGAACCCUAUGAUUCCUCCACAAUCCCUCCUCUUGCCGGCUCUCCGUGGUUUAGACUGGUUCGUGCCAAGGUACUGACUGUGGAAGGCACAGGGCUUCCCUCGCUGGCUGACCUUCCUUGGCUGCCUGGGAGCCCCCAGUCCCCAUGCCUGACUCUGAGCUGACCCUCCACACACUGACCCUGGGGCCUCAGCCUCCAAGGGGUGUGGGGAAGUGAGUAGUCCCAGUUCAGUAUACCUGAAUGGCCCUGUGGGGACGGGAGAAAGGCACACCCUCCCUGCAGAUCUGGGCACCACCUUGAUCCCAGCAUUGUCCUUCAUUUCACAGACAACACACCUGCCCCAGGACCCCCUCCCCACUGAUGAGCUGGGCCCCUCUGUGACCUCAGACUCUUCCUUCUAGGCAGGAACAGGUUGGGGGUCCCGUCUCCAAGCCCUGCCUGGACCCCGCACCUCCAGUCCCAGGCUAGCUGAUUCAGGGCUCCUUGCCCUGCAGCCCAAGGGCCCUCUCACCACCAUUGCCCACCCCACCUCCCUGGGCUCCUGGGAUCUCAGCCUUAGGUCAAGGCCCAGCCCUGGUGCACCCUCCCCCAUGGGCCAGGCCCUCCAUGCCUUUGCCCGCGCCAGUCCCUCCACGGGGCACGCCCUUCCCGCUGUGGCUACUCCUCAAUCUUAGAGGCCCCUCCCAAGCCCAUUCUCACAGAGCUUCCUAGGCCUGCCCUGGCCUGACACAUAGUGCAGGACAGUGUCCAGGCCUGUGUCCCCAAGACCCAUCUGGGGUUCAAGCCACAUCUUGGGCCUAUACACAGCCAGCUAGUGAGUGAGCGAGCGAGUGAGUGAGGCCCUGCAAGAUGGUCAUCUGUCUUGUCCCGCAAAGGCCAAGACAAACGCCGUGUCAGCGGCAGCCUCUCCAACCCAGUCUGUGAUGGCCAGUGGUGGUCAGUGAGGGCUGGGCCGCGAGGCUCACAGCUCAGGCCGCACCCGCCGGUUUCACAGACCGGCCAGGAAGCUCCCAGGGCGAGGGCCUAGUCGUGUCCUCCCCAUGGGCGAGCAACCCUAGGCAGGCACCAGAGGGCGCUCGCGGUCUGCAGAAAACGCUGGCUAAGGGGGGAGCGCGGAAAGAGACAGGAAACGUCUGCAGGGAGCAACUCUGUGUCCUCAUCAGGAGACCCCCUGUUGCUGGCCCCUCAGGAACUAGGGAUCAGCAUGUCCUACCCAGUGAAGCCCUCCUGGGGGUCUUCUCUGCCCAUAGGAAAUGCCUCCUUCUAUCCUGUCUUCCUGUCACCACCACCCCCCAGGGUACUGAGGGCCAGCUGGACAAAAGGUGGUGAGAGAUGGGCCAGGUGGAUCCCCCGCAGGGGUGCCAGGUGCCGUGUGCUGCCAUGGAUGUCUCUGGGAUAUCAGUCAGCCCCUUCUCUGUUGGCCAAGGAGCCACUGCUAACAGGAGUUGUCCCAGAGGGUCACACUCUUGAGUCUCUUGUGGCAAGGUCAACAGGAGGACCAUCUGGAGCACGGAGAGCAUCCCCAGAUCAUAGGCAGAAGGGUGUUUCCUGCUAAGGCCAGCCAGAAGACUCCACAGACCUCCCAAGUCCUGGCUAGACUCAAUCCUGCUGUUAUAAGUCUCCCUGGGUCCUCCCUGAAUCCUCCCAGAGCCCUCCCUGAAUCUUCCCAAAAGCUCCCUGAACCCUCCCCAGGUUGUCUCCUGGAGUCCUCCCAGUCUUUCCUGGAUCCUCUCCACAUCCUCCCUGAGUGCUCCCAGAAUCUUCCUGCAGUCCUCCCCAUGUUCUCUCAGGCGUGGGCUGCUGUACCUGGAUUGGCCCUAGCAGGUGACUCGGGCUGGAGUUUGGUUGACACCAGUGGAGCCACAAGCCUGCUGUGCACAGGUGUGAUGGCAGGCCUGUGAGGGUUCGGGGCUGCAUGGCCUUGCUCCCUUUGCACUGGUGUCUGGAUGUGCUCAGAGGCCCCCUGGGUCCCCAGGCCUCUGGGACAAGGCCGGUUGAGUCUCAAAAACAGGUAGGACCCCAAGCAGAGCCAAGGCAUCACCAGCCCCAGCCCUUGUUCCCGUGUGCCCCAUCUCCCGAAGCACUCCCCUGUGUCAUGCGGUACCAGCUCUGCCUCUGACUCCCCAUGCAGUGGCCCUAAGGCCACCCCUUGUCAGUGUCCUCCUGGGCCUCCUGGGGCGGGCAAGAACCUGCUCACACAGGUACAUGCACAGCAAGCAUCGGAGGGUCUCCUUCCCUGGGAGACAUCACCGCCCCACAGUGGGUCACCCUCAAGGCUAACCACUCAGCUUCCGGGUGGCAAGCCUGCAGAGUGGCCCCAGGCAUGCCGGGCCACCUUCUAAGUGUGCCAGUCCCACCCUGUGUGUGUGUGUGGAUGUGCCAGAGAUGUGCAGUCACACUUCCAUCUGUGUCCCAUGCCCCCAUGAGUGUGUCCUCACACCUCUUGCCCCGCCUCCCUGCUGUGUGCCCCUCGUAGCAGCUUGGCCCUGCCCGCUGCACCAUGUGUACACAGAGGCUUAUUUUCUCUGCCUUUCGGGCCAGGGGCGUGCUCGUAAAUUGUGCAGUCGACGACACAUUUAUCCCGCGGGCGGCUGGCGGUGUGAAUUUAUGGCUGCACCCCCUUCCUGGCUGAGGCAGGACAGGGGCCGGGAUACCUCUCAGGCAGGAACCUCCAGUCCACUCCACUGGGCUGUUGUGGGGCCAUGGGGGCGGGCUGGGCCGGGAGGGCUUAGGAGUGCUCCCAAGGUCUGGUCUUGCACAGAAACCCUGCAACUUCAGGGUGCUUGGGGCAAUGAGAGGCGAGGCCACUCUGCCUGGGUGAGGGCUGGGGGCACAGUGGCUGCCCACGUGCCAGAGGCAUGGAGGCCCAGAGCCCAGCCUAAUGUCCCAGCCUCCAUGCCCCCUUCCAGUCGGCUUCUCAUCUUCCCACCUAAGAAAGAGGGGACAACUUGGAUGCCCCAGGGACAGCAGGUGUGGGGGUGGCUCCCCUCAGGUGCUGAGUCAGCCACCCACUGCCACUAGGCCCACUGGGAGUACUGAGAUCUGGGGAGGACUGUCAGAAAGGGUGGGGGCCUCGAGGGCAGCUGGGGCUGCACACAGGGAAGAGGAGCGGAGAUACUGUCGAAUCAGAGCAGAGAGCCCCUCAGAGCUCACCUGCCCUCCUCUGCCUUGUAAAGAUGGGGAAACUGAGGCCCAGGGAGAGCAGAGGUCCCAGGUCACAUGGGUAGGAUAACAGAGCCUCAAGAUCCUGGAUUCCUGCUCCCUAGUAUGCAAUAAAGGGGGUCCUAGGCACACCCCUCCCCACGGAGCCACCUUUGUCCUGCAAAGUCUGGAGGUGGGGCCUCCGGCUGAAGCCUCAACAGGGAGCUGAUGGAGCAAAUUGGCAAGCUGGUCCCAUCAGGGCCACAGCUGGGGCCUGGGACCUGGCUGCCUCCCCUCCGUCCGUCGGUCUGUCUGUGUGCAGGGUCGGGUCUCCAGGGGACCCUCUGUCGGCUCUCAAGCUCCCUCCCAUCUCGGCCCCAGCCCCCCCUCACCGCCCGCUGUCAGGAUGAGCGAUGGCCGUGCCCCUCCCCGGCCCUCGGCCCCAGGCCCGGUUCCCGCUCAUUAGCCACUGACACUGUUUGCUUUCCCGCCAUGGACGCCCACCCCGUCACAGGCCAUUUCUCCCGGCGCCCCCCACCCCUGAGGACCUGCCCAGGGGUCCAGGGUGCCGGGUCGAGGGGACUGCCGGGUGCCAGGCAGGACCUGCAUUAUGCUCCCGGAGCAAUGGCCACAUGGAGUGCCGGCCCCACCCUCACCUGCACCCCAAGAGACGGGGAGCCACGGGCCACCCUGAGUCUCCCAUGGCCCUGCCCACAUCACACAGGCCAGACACAGCCGCCGUGAGACUGGGCCGUGCCUCGCAGCUUGGAUGGCUUGGUGCUGCACACACUGGGAGGGUCUCUGAUGACAAGUACCUGGCCCACUGCACCUAUCUCUGUCUCUCUUUAUCACUGCCCCUAUUUCUGUCUUUGUCUCUCUCCUUGGUCUCUGCCCCUAGCCCCAUCCUGUGGAAUGACCACUGAGCCAGCAGCCCAUUCAGAAAGUACAUCCCUCACCUGGAGCCCCUCUGUCCCCUCAGGCAGCCCCAGUACACAGCCUGGGGGGUGGGUCCUGAGGCAGCAGGCACCCCUCCCUCCUGCACCACCCCCGCCCCCAAUAUGGCCACAGCUGGGCGGCAUCAGGGCCCGCAGGCCAGUGGCAGCCAGUCCUUCACUUAAAAAUGUGUUUGUGAUUUCGGCAGCGAGGCAGAUAACGGUGACGAAUGGCCCGCCUGCCCCCCAGGGCCCUCAGCCCAUCUGGUUUGACUUUGGCCUGUCGGCAGUGCCCUUGGGCCUCACUCCUGCCCUCUGGCAGUGCCCUCCGAGUGAGGCACCCCUCAACCUUUGCACACUCUGGUUCCUUUGCUGGAAAUGCCCCUCCUCUCCACCCAUCUGUCCCCCCAUCAUGGGCUCCCCUGGCUAUGCCCAUAGGAGCCACCCAUGCAACACUCGGGGUGGCAGGUCCUGGGCAGUGCUGGGGUUUGCAGGGUGGGGGAGGGCACAGGCCCAGCAGGGAGGGGGCAUGCCUUGCCUGGGCCCUGCAUCCCCUCUGUCUAGGAGGGAAUAGUGAGUGCCCACCUAAGGCCAGAGGGGCCGAGGCUAAGGUGACGGAGUGGGCCAGGACCGAGAGAGGUGGCCCGGCGGCCAGGGCAGGGCCUAGCCCUGUGAGACAGCCCAUGUGGUCAUUGUCAGGAGGAAUUUCUGACAGGGCUCGGGACCCUCCUGACCAUCGAUUAUCCAAGCAGGAGGAGUGGCUUCCGGGUCCGGCUGUGGGCUCAGCUGGGAGGUCACUGAGGUCAAGCCCGAGUGCCCCUCCUCCUCCAGUCUCCCCUUCUACUCCCUUGGGGCUCCCCAGUUGGGCAGAGGUGCCUGGAAGGUUGCUCCUGCCCAGUUUGAAUCCUGGCCAGCUACCACAGGGAGUGGUCAGGGGUCCACUAGGGACUGGAGCUCAUGCAUUCCUUAGCACAACUUCCCAAUCAACCCCUGCGUGCCCAGGUCACAGACGGAGUCAGACCUGGCCCUCAGAGAGGAGAUAAGGAGAGGUGGAGGUGCUUAGAGCUCCCCUGGCCCAUCUCAGGGGUUGGGGAGGGGCUUGUGUAGAGGGAGGGCAUUCGGGCAGGAUAGAGGAGGCAGCCCUCCCUGGGGGUCUGGGGUCGCCUCCAGGAGAGGCACUGCUCCAUUCCCCACUGCACCCUCCAGGCCCACUCCCUGCCCUGUGGCGAGGACAGCUGUAGGGGGAGGGGAGGGGCAGCGCCGUGUCAGGACCCCCACCCCCUCCUCCAAAGCAGGAAAAUCCCUCUCCGUUAGUAUCACAUUGUUGAGAAUUAACUUUGUUGAAAUAAAAAUUGGUCGUGGUAUUAA